GCCCGGAUGGUGAAAUUGGUAGACACAAGGGACUUAAAAUCCCUCGCCAGCGAUGGCGUACCGGUUCGACCCCGGUUCCGGGCACCA
Molecule: transfer RNA, 87 nt
Filed under: Thiobacillus sp.
Lineage: Bacteria; Pseudomonadati; Pseudomonadota; Betaproteobacteria; Nitrosomonadales; Thiobacillaceae
Also listed under: 1 other name
Description: tRNA-Leu
Rfam family: tRNA
About the family: Transfer RNA (tRNA) molecules are approximately 80 nucleotides in length. Their secondary structure includes four short double-helical elements and three loops (D, anti-codon, and T loops).
Source: RNAcentral